This 45-nucleotide non-coding RNA is filed under the name Schistosoma mattheei. The record is from RNAcentral. Lineage: Eukaryota; Metazoa; Platyhelminthes; Trematoda; Strigeidida; Schistosomatidae.
AUUCAGCUGAAAAGUCUCAAAUAGGACGAAACGCACGCCCUGGAU